Molecule: long non-coding RNA, 769 nt
Filed under: Citrus sinensis (sweet orange)
Lineage: Eukaryota; Viridiplantae; Streptophyta; Magnoliopsida; Sapindales; Rutaceae
Description: long non-coding RNA (CSIN_LNC003035)
Source: RNAcentral
CCAACUCCACCAAUAUAGUAUUUUGAUCUGAUCAUCUUAAUCUAUUCCUCUAAAUAGGCUUUCCAUGUCUGUAACAGUGUGAAGCUAUACAUAGCUAUUAAAGAUAUAGAUUUUCCAACUUUAUUUUUUCCAUAAAAAUAAAGACCCACUAUGUGAUAAGGUUUGAAUUCCUGUUUUACUGCUGAAUCUGCAGUGAAAGAGAAAGAACUAAGGAUCCAUUUCUUUCUCAGAUACAGAUGGAACGGGAACCUUUAUUUUUAUUUUUUUAAACUCAACGAGUGACUGAGUGGACUAUCUAUGGCUUUUAUUUCCCUUUAUCCCCUGUGAAUGGUAUGUGACUGAUGUGUUUUGUCCCCUUCCUAUAAUGGUAUGUGAAACUAGGCUUCUCAACUCGGCUUGUUGGUACAUGCCUCCAUAGAUCUGCAAAAUUAAUAGGAAUUAAGUUGAUUGUCAAAAUUUCCAUUUGACCAUAUAAAUGCAUUACACAGGUUUACUGGAUAAUCAUUUUAGAUGUUGAACCUAUGAGCAGUUAGGAAAAUGCUUGGUUGAUAUGUAUUCUGGAAAAUCAUGUACUAAAGACACAAGCAUAGUGCAUCAAUGUCUUUUUCUGGUGCUUGCUGCGUUUAUUACUCAUGUUUCUUAGAUGUUUCCAUGCCUCACUUAUCCUUACCAUCAAAUUCUUUUACUGUUACUACACAUUUUAGGAUGAUGGAUACAUACCAAAACACUCUGUUCUGGAGCUUCAGAAAGCAUGGCCAGGUUCAGAGGU